Molecule: ribosomal RNA, 466 nt
Filed under: uncultured bacterium
Lineage: Bacteria
Description: bacterial SSU rRNA
Rfam family: Bacterial small subunit ribosomal RNA
Source: RNAcentral
UUCCAGACUCCUACGGGAGGCAGCAGUGAGGAAUAUUGGUCAAUGGGCGCGAGCCUGAACCAGCCAAGUAGCGUGAAGGAUGACUGCCCUACGGGUUGUAAACUUCUUUUAUAAAGGAAUAAAGUGAGGCACGUAUGCCUUUUUGUAUGUACUUUAUGAAUAAGGAUCGGCUAACUCCGUGCCAGCAGCCGCGGUAAUACGGAGGAUCCGAGCGUUAUCCGGAUUUAUUGGGUUUAAAGGGAGCGUAGAUGGGUUGUUAAGUCAGUUGUGAAAGUUUGCGGCUCAACCGUAAAAUUGCAAUUGAUACUGGCAGCCUUGAGUACAGUUGAGGUAGGCGGAAUUCGUGGUGUAGCGGUGAAAUGCUUAGAUAUCACGAAGAACCCCGAUUGCGAAGGCAGCCUGCCGCAGCGUUACUGACGCUGAAGCUCGAAAGCGCGGGUAUCGAACAGGAUUAGAUACCCUGGUA